This 301-nucleotide ribosomal RNA is filed under the name uncultured bacterium. RNAcentral's name for it is "partial 16S ribosomal RNA". It matches the Rfam family "Bacterial small subunit ribosomal RNA", at positions 509 to 809 of the family's 1533-position model. The record is from RNAcentral.
CAGUAGCCACGGGAAUACGUAGGUGGCGAGCGUUGUCCGGAAUCAUUGGGCGUAAAGGGAGCGCAGGCGGGCAUGUAAGUCUUUCUUAAAAGUGCGGGGCUCAACCCCGUGAUGGGAAGGAAACUACAUGUCUUGAGUACAGGAGAGGAAAGCGGAAUUCCCAGUGUAGCGGUGAAAUGCGUAGAUAUUGGGAGGAACACCAGUGGCGAAGGCGGCUUUCUGGACUGCAACUGACGCUGAGGCUCGAAAGCCAGGGGAGCGAACGGGAUUAGAUACCCCAGUAGUCCCUGUCUCUUAUACA